CGCGCAUGUGUUCUGACUAUGGCAAAGAAGGUCUUUGCCGCGUGCACGGCCCGACUUAAAUCUCUGCAAUGGCUAACGAAGCUUAUCCUUGUCCGUGUGACAUCGGCCACAGACUUGAGUAUGGAGGGCUAGGCCGUGAAGUUCAAGUCGAGCACAUCAAGGCUUAUGUCACCAAAUCCCCCGUUGAUGCAGGCAAAGCUGUGAUUGUCAUUCAAGAUAUAUUUGGCUGGCAGUUGCCCAAUACCAGAUAUAUGGCUGACAUGAUCUCAGGAAAUGGAUACACAACCAUUGUUCCAGACUUCUUUGUAGGGCAAGAGCCUUGGGACCCCUCUGGCGACUGGUCCAUCUUCCCUGAGUGGCUGAAAACAAGAAAUGCCCAGAAGAUCGAUAGAGAGAUCAGUGCUAUCUUGAAGUAUCUGAAACAACAGUGUCAUGCCCAGAAAAUUGGCAUCGUGGGAUUCUGCUGGGGUGGAAUUGCUGUCCAUCAUUUGAUGAUGAAAUACUCAGAAUUCAGGGCAGGGGUGUCUGUCUAUGGUAUCUUUGCUGACUCAGAAGUUGAAAGAACACUGCAAAGUUGAAUAUCAAAUUAAAACAUUUUCUGGGCAGACUCAUGGGUUCGUGCAUCGGAAGAGAGAAGAUUGCUCACCUGCAGACAAGCCCUACAUUGAUGAGGCGAGAAGGAAUUUAAUUGAGUGGCUGAA
Molecule: small RNA, 701 nt
Filed under: Pongo abelii (Sumatran orangutan)
Lineage: Eukaryota; Metazoa; Chordata; Mammalia; Primates; Hominidae
Description: processed transcript
Source: RNAcentral